GACAGAUGAAAGGAAAAAAAAAUGAUGCUUAGAUCUAGUAAACUGGGCUAGCAUAAUAGGAAGGAAAGGGACUAGAAGAAGAAAUCAUUAAGUUCGACUAAACUAUUGAACCUUCUUUAAAGGAGCAGAGGGAGGCAAGAAAAUUAGGUGGAAAUAGGACAUGAGGGCCCUAUCUUAUUCUGCUCAAAAAGAUACAGCUGAAAUGCUACUCAAAGCCUGAAAUACUCCAAAACAGCAGAAAGAAAGGUCUUGAGGAGUUCACAGUGAAGCUAUUGAUCCUCACAGUGGUCGUGUGGACAGUGACUGAAGCUAUUACACUCACUCAGGCAUCCGAGGGCACAAGCAUCAUGACUAGCCCCAGUGGCUUUAGUUAUAGACUCUGCUGAGAGUGAUGCUUGCCAGAAAUAAAAUAUAAUGAAAAAGAGUGAAUUGUUCCCAGCAGGCAGUUUUUCAAAAUCCUGAGAGAGUCUAUGACAAAAGGCUGUGGGCAGAAUCCACUGUGAGAUGGGGCUAAAUGUGGCUGCUCAGGAGAUAGAGUCUGGACCAUCAAGGAGCCCACAUUCAAUGAGAAGCCAGGCCACCAGAAGUCCAGACACCAAAGGGAAAUGAACAUCGGGAGCUUUAAAUGGCAGGGGAAGGCAAGACAAUGUGUUGAAGGGG
This 660-nucleotide long non-coding RNA is filed under the name Homo sapiens (human). RNAcentral describes it as "HSALNT0069283". Lineage: Eukaryota; Metazoa; Chordata; Mammalia; Primates; Hominidae. The record is from RNAcentral.